RNAcentral lists this ribosomal RNA (1348 nucleotides) under metagenome. RNAcentral describes it as "bacterial LSU rRNA". It matches the Rfam family "Bacterial large subunit ribosomal RNA", at positions 1565 to 2915 of the family's 2925-position model. The record is from RNAcentral.
AUUUAACUUGUUAUUUAAUAUUUUGUUUAGCCUUAGUCAGACUUCCAAGAAAAGCUCUUACUAUUGUAUAAAUUAAUUAACCUGUACCCUAAACCGACACAGGUAGGUAGGUAGAGAAUACUAAGGGGCGCGAGAUAACUCUCUCUAAGGAACUCGGCAAAAUGGCCCCGUAACUUCGGGAGAAGGGGUGGCUGGCUGGUGUUAAAACCGGCCGGCCCGCAGUGACCAGGCCCAGGCGACUGUUUAUCAAAAACACAGGUCUCCGCAAAGUCGUAAGACAACGUAUGGGGGCUGACGCCUGCCCAGUGCCGGAAGGUAAAAGAAGUCGGUUAUUCGACCGAUGAAGCUGACGACUGAAGCCCCGGUGAACGGCGGCUGUAACGCUGACAGUCCUAAGGUAGCGAAAUUCCUUGCCAAGUAAGUUUUGGCCCGCACGAAAGGCGUAACGAUCUGGGCACUGUCUCGGAGAGAGGCUCGGUGAAAUAGAAAUGUCUGUGAAGAUGCGGACUACUUAUACCAGGACAGAAAGACCCUAUGAAGCUUGACUGUAGCUUGGAAUUGGGUUCGGGCUCUUUUUGCGCAGUCUAGGUGGGAGGCGUUGAUAUUAGGUUUUCGGACCUAGUGGAGCCAUCAGUGAGAGACCACUCUGAAAGAGCUAGAAUCCUAAUAGGACUCCUUGAAUCAGGAUCCUUGACAGUUUCAGGCGGACAGUUUGUCUGGGGCGGAUGCCUCCUAAAAGGUAACGGAGGCGUGCAAAGGUUCCCUCAGGCUGGACGGAAAUCAGCUGUAGAGUGUAAAGGUACAAGGGAGCUUGACUGCAAGACCAACAAGUCGAGCAGGGGCGAAAGCCGGCCUUAGUGAUCCGACGGUACCGUGUGGAAGGGCCGUCGCUCAACGGAUAAAAGUUACUCUAAGGAUAACAGGCUGAUCUCCCCCAAGAGUUCACAUCGACGGGGAGGUUUGGCACCUCGAUGUCGGCUCAUCGCAACCUGGGGCUGUAGACGGUCCCAAGGGUUGGGCUGUUCGCCCAUGAAAGCGGUACGUGAGCUGGGUUCAGAACGUCGUGAGACAGUUCGGUCCAUAUCCGGUAUAAGCGUAAGAGCAUUGAGAGGAUCUCAACAUUGUACGAGAGGACCCGAAGGGACGUACCGAUGGUGUACCGGUUCUUGUGCCAACAGGAAACGCCGGGUAGCUAUGUACGGAGUGGAUAAUCGCUGAAAGCAUUUAAGUGAGAAGCCCACCUCAAGAUGAAUGCUCUCUAUUAGAUCGCGGCAAGACAAGCCGAUUGAUUGGCGUCAGGUGUAAGAUCAGUAAUGGUUUCAGCUGAGACGUACAAAGGAUCGAUUGA